RNAcentral lists this ribosomal RNA (253 nucleotides) under uncultured bacterium. RNAcentral's name for it is "partial 16S ribosomal RNA". It matches the Rfam family "Bacterial small subunit ribosomal RNA", at positions 524 to 776 of the family's 1533-position model. The record is from RNAcentral.
GACAGAGGGUGCAAACGUUGUUCGGAUUUACUGGGCGUAAAGAGCGCGCAGGCGGUCGGAUAAGUCGAAUGUGAAAGCCCCCGGCUCAACUGGGGAGGGUCAUUCGAUACUGUUCGACUCGAAGGCAGGAGAGGGAAGUGGAAUUCCCGGUGUAGUGGUGAAAUGCGUAGAUAUCGGGAGGAACACCAGUGGCGAAGGCGACUUCCUGGCCUGUUCUUGACGCUGAGGCGCGAAAGCUAGGGGAGCAAACGGG